UACCAUGCAGUCGAGCGGUAGAGAGGAGCUUGCUUCUCUUGAGAGCGGCGGACGGGUGAGUAAUACCUGGGAAUCUGCCUGACAGUGGGGGAUAACGUUCGGAAACGGACGCUAAUACCGCGUACGUCCUACGGGAGAAAGCAGGGGAUCUUCGGACCUUGCGCUAUCAGAUGAGCCCAGGUCGGAUUAGCUAGUUGGUGAGGUAAUGGCUCACCAAGGCGACGAUCCGUAACUGGUCUGAGAGGAUGAUCAGUCACACUGGAACUGAGACACGGUCCAGACUCCUACGGGAGGCAGCAGUGGGGAAUAUUGGACAAUGGGCGCAAGCCUGAUCCAGCCAUGCCGCGUGUGUGAAGAAGGUCUUCGGAUUGUAAAGCACUUUAAGUUGGGAGGAAGGGUUGUUGCCUAAUACGUAACAAUUUUGACGUUACCGACAGAAUAAGCACCGGCUAACUCUGUGCCAGCAGCCGCGGUAAUACAGAGGGUGCAAGCGUUAAUCGGAAUUACUGGGCGUAAAGCGCGCGUAGGUGGUUCAGUAAGAUGGGUGUGAAAUCCCCGGGCUCAACCUGGGAACUGCUUUCAUAACUGCUGAACUAGAGUACGGUAGAGGGUAGUGGAAUUUCCUGUGUAGCGGUGAAAUGCGUAGAUAUAGGAAGGAACACCAGUGGCGAAGGCGACUACCUGGACUGAUACUGACACUGAGGUGCGAAAGCGUGGGGAGCAAACAGGAUUAGAUACCCUGGUAGAAUCACUAGUGAAUUC
This 762-nucleotide ribosomal RNA is filed under the name uncultured bacterium. RNAcentral's name for it is "bacterial SSU rRNA". It matches the Rfam family "Bacterial small subunit ribosomal RNA", at positions 52 to 809 of the family's 1533-position model. The record is from RNAcentral.